Molecule: long non-coding RNA, 223 nt
Organism: Empidonax traillii (willow flycatcher)
Lineage: Eukaryota; Metazoa; Chordata; Aves; Passeriformes; Tyrannidae
Exons: 3
Source: RefSeq, a predicted model, not a curated record
UUGAACCAAAGAGAUAACCUGCAGCUAUGGAGUCACCGACUAAGGAAAUCGAAGAAUUUGAGAGCAACUCUCUGAAAUACCUACAGCCAGAGCAAAUAGAGAAAAUCUGGCUUCGUCUCCGAGGCUUGAGAAAAUACAAGAAAACGUCACAGAGGGAAAUGCCAUUCUAGUGGUUGUUUCCCCAUUUGAAAGUCCAUCUUGUGCUGCUGCUGCUCCACAUCUC